Molecule: ribosomal RNA, 460 nt
Filed under: uncultured bacterium
Lineage: Bacteria
Description: partial 16S ribosomal RNA
Rfam family: Bacterial small subunit ribosomal RNA
Source: RNAcentral
CCUACGGGUGGCAGCAGUGAGGAAUAUUGGUCAAUGGCCGGAAGGCUGAACCAGUCAUGCCGCGUGAAGGUCAGUGCCCUAUGGGCGUUAAACUUCUUUUGUGCGGGAGCAAUAAUGGUCACGUGUGGCCAGACGAGAGUACCGUACGAAUAAGCAUCGGCUAACUCCGUGCCAGCAGCCGCGGUAAUACGGGGGAUGCAAGCGUUAUCCGGAUUUAUUGGGUUGAAAGGGUGCGUAAGCUGUGAGGUAAGUCAGCGGUGAAAUGCCCCGGCUCAACGGGGUGAAGUGCCAUUGAUACUGCCUGGCUGGAAUGCGGAUGCCGUGGGAGGAAUGUGUGGUGUAGCGGUGAAAUGCAUAGAGAUCACACAGAACACCGAUUGCGAAGGCAUCUCACGAAUCCGCGAUUGACGCUGAUGCACGAAAGCGUGGGUAUCAAACAGGAUUAGAUACCCUAGUAGUC